AUGGCGGGCGCCCCCGACCCGGCUUCCCCCACGGAACAUCCUGCAGGCCCCAGACGCCAGCGGCACAGAGGCAGGGGGCCUGGACCCAGAAAGGCGGGGGGGCUGGACCUAGAAAGGCAGGGGGGCUGGACUCGCAGAGGUGGGGGGGGCCUGAACCUGCAGAGGUGGGGGCCUGGACCCGCAGAGGUGGGGGGAGGCCUGAACCUGCAGAGGCGGGGGACCUGGGCCCGCAGAGGCCAGGGGGCCUGGACACGGCCAGCCGGCCUUACUGGACUUCCCCCUCACCAUGGGUGUUCUCGGUGCCAUCCCUGGCUCUCGCAGGCGCCAGUGUCUUCCAGCACAGCCCUCCCGGCACCACAAGCCACCAUCCCGCUGCCCCCACCUCCACGCAGCCCACCCGGCAGCUCCCAGGGCCUGGCCACCACUAAUCUGUCCUCCAUCUCUGAAAUUCCAGAGCUGACCCCAUCUCCAGAGCCCCUCACUCACUUUCCAAGGGUCCACCUUGUCCUCCCCCCCAGGGGCAUUUCACAGCUGAGCCAGGUGGGUCCCCAGAGGCCCGAGCCAGCUGGCCACAGCAGGGGGACUGGGUUUGUGGGAGCUGCUCCGGCCCCAACCCCCAGCGCUCGGCCUGCCUGGCCCUCGGCAGCCUGCCCGGAGGCGGGGUGGGGUCUCCGCGGUCCCUCCCACCCCCUCCGGGGCCUGGCACGUCCCUCGAUGGAGGCGAGAAGCCAUGCGCUAGCUCGCCCCUGGGUACAGCGCGGGGGAAGGGUCACACCCGCAGAUCCGCGAACCGCCGCGCGCGGAGCAGUCAGCGAGGUGCCAGGCGCAGAGCCGGCGAGGCGCGGGGAGAGCGCCCGCGGCCCCAUUUGGCAAUGAAUUAUGCAUGGCCUUCUGCUCACGCUCACCGGGCUGCGCUCUGCUCCGCGCCUCCUGGGCUUCCCUCGCCCGCAGGGGCGCAGGCUCCCCGGGGCGGGCAGCGUCCUUUGUCCUGCGGGGACCCCGCCGCCAGCGUCCCCAGGAUGCCCACUUCCCAGGCUGCAGGACCAAGGGCCGGGGCCGGCUCGGGGCCUCCUCCACCAUCACAGUAAUAGCCAGGGCAAGGCCGACGAGGCCGCGCGUUACCGGCCUUUCCCAGGCGCUGGACCGAGGGGCAGAGGAGCCGGAGAACGGUCACUGCGCAAAGCCCAGGGCCCCACCUGCGCAGGGGCUGUCCUGAGUGCGGGGGCGUGGGCAGCGAGGAAGCCAGCAGCUGAUGGCCUGCGGUGGCCAGGCAGGGCCUCUCUCAGGAGGUGGCGCUGGGCAGGGCCCUGGAGGAGGUGAGGGGCCAGCCAGGGAGCAGCCGUGCCGGCCAAUGGAGCAGUCGGUGCAAAGGGCCUGUGGCUGCGGCAUCCCGGGCCGGCUGGUGCAGCGGGGGGCAGGAGGGUCUCAGGGCCACCGGGCGAGGCGCCUGCCACCACUGGCCCACUGGAGAGAUGCAAAAACCCAGAGCCCGGUGCCACCUUUCCAUGUCAGGAGAAUGCCACGGCCUGGGACCUCCUGCCCAGGGAGGGGCGGCAGGAGCCUCCCCCGCCACAGCCGCCACGCCAGGGCCGGGCGCUCCGCUGUCCCACGCCAGGGCUGGGCGCUCCGUCUGCCCUCUCCAGCCCAGACCCCGCCCAGCCCACGCCCACCCACCCGUGCCAGGCCCACGGCAGGCAGGGGAGGCGCCGCUUGCCCUGUGCCAUGCACCCUCCAGGCUGGAAUCAAAGCCCUCAGAGGCGGUGGGCGGGGCGCGCCCACGGCCCUGCCGGCGUCAGCCCCAGCGCGGACAGCAGAGGUGUCCAGACGUGGACCUGCGUGGCCUGCACGAGGAGGGCGGAGCCAGAUCCUCCGUGAG
This 1876-nucleotide long non-coding RNA is filed under the name Oryctolagus cuniculus (rabbit). RNAcentral's name for it is "lncRNA (ENSOCUG00000038670.1)". The record is from RNAcentral. Lineage: Eukaryota; Metazoa; Chordata; Mammalia; Lagomorpha; Leporidae.